RNAcentral lists this ribosomal RNA (497 nucleotides) under uncultured bacterium. RNAcentral's name for it is "partial 16S ribosomal RNA". It matches the Rfam family "Bacterial small subunit ribosomal RNA", at positions 28 to 507 of the family's 1533-position model. The record is from RNAcentral.
GAUGGACGCUGGCGGCGUGCCUAAUACAUGCAAGUCGAGCGAACAGACGAGGAGCUUGCUCCUCUGACGUUAGCGGCGGACGGGUGAGUAACACGUGGAUAACCUACCUAUAAGACUGGGAUAACUUCGGGAAACCGGAGCUAAUACCGGAUAAUAUAUUGAACCGCAUGGUUCAAUAGUGAAAGACGGUUUUGCUGUCACUUAUAGAUGGAUCCGCGCCGCAUUAGCUAGUUGGUAAGGUAACGGCUUACCAAGGCAACGAUGCGUAGCCGACCUGAGAGGGUGAUCGGCCACACUGGAACUGAGACACGGUCCAGACUCCUACGGGAGGCAGCAGUAGGGAAUCUUCCGCAAUGGGCGAAAGCCUGACGGAGCAACGCCGCGUGAGUGAUGAAGGUCUUCGGAUCGUAAAACUCUGUUAUUAGGGAAGAACAAAUGUGUAAGUAACUAUGCACGUCUUGACGGUACCUAAUCAGAAAGCCACGGCUAACUACGUG